RNAcentral lists this ribosomal RNA (306 nucleotides) under uncultured bacterium. RNAcentral's name for it is "partial 16S ribosomal RNA". It matches the Rfam family "Bacterial small subunit ribosomal RNA", at positions 507 to 807 of the family's 1533-position model. The record is from RNAcentral.
GACAGCAGUAGCCGCGGUAAUACAGAGGGUGCGAGCGUUAAUCGGAUUUACUGGGCGUAAAGCGUGCGUAGGCGGCUAAUUGAGUCGGAUGUGAAAUCCCCGAGCUUAACUUGGGAAUUGCAUUCGAUACUGGUUAGCUAGAGUGUGGGAGAGGAUGGUAGAAUUCCAGGUGUAGCGGUGAAAUGCGUAGAGAUCUGGAGGAAUACCGAUGGCGAAGGCAGCCAUCUGGCCUAACACUGACGCUGAGGUACGAAAGCAUGGGGAGCAAACAGGAUUAGAUACCCCGGUAGUCCCUGUCUCUUAUAC